GCUCGGGUGGUGGAAUUGGUAGACACGCAAGGUUGAGGGCCUUGUGAGAGUUAAAUCUCAUGUGGGUUCAAGUCCCACUCCGAGCACCA
This 89-nucleotide transfer RNA is filed under the name Kiritimatiellaceae bacterium. RNAcentral's name for it is "tRNA-Leu". It matches the Rfam family "tRNA". Rfam says of the family: Transfer RNA (tRNA) molecules are approximately 80 nucleotides in length. Their secondary structure includes four short double-helical elements and three loops (D, anti-codon, and T loops). Lineage: Bacteria; Pseudomonadati; Kiritimatiellota; Kiritimatiellia; Kiritimatiellales; Kiritimatiellaceae. RNAcentral also lists the same sequence under 1 other name. The record is from RNAcentral.